CCGCCUACACCCAAACGUGUCAUAGAACACCAUACCUACACCUGAAUAUGUUAAAAUACACCCAAUAAAAACCUGAAAGUUGCCAGGGAGCCUGAAGUACAAUGAAACAGUUGAGACAAUAUUAACUGGUUUAAUUACCUUUGAUCACCUGAGAUCUCUCCUCUGAAGUUGAGUGGUAGAACCAUUGAAUUAUCACUCUUCAUAGACAGACAACUGGGUACAGGUGACCCUGCCCUCUCUACCCGGACCCUGCUCAGCCGUUUCUGUGCAUCUAUUCCCAUCAGCUGGGCCUGCAGUGACUGAUGCACUUCCUGCUCUGACAGCAGCCGCUCCUCAGGUGCACCCCACCAGUGUGUGGCGCUGCAGAGGACAAAGCCUUUGAGACAAUAUUUCACUUUCAUUUCGCUCUAACCAUCAUAGAAUCUUUUCCUCACCUCUACUGCUGAUGAUCGUAUUAUUCCCAAACUUUUUAUUUUGUGCGUAACUAAAUGACACACUUGAUUCCAUUCCCCAGGUGAGGUGUUCCUGUAUCUCCAAUAUUAAUCUAUUCAAUAACACCUGCUGUGCAAACAUAUCAGAUUC
Anguilla rostrata (American eel) is the source of this 582-nucleotide long non-coding RNA. RefSeq lists it as uncharacterized. The transcript is spliced from 3 exons. Lineage: Eukaryota; Metazoa; Chordata; Actinopteri; Anguilliformes; Anguillidae. The record is from RefSeq and is a predicted model, not a curated record.